Molecule: ribosomal RNA, 253 nt
Filed under: uncultured bacterium
Lineage: Bacteria
Description: partial 16S ribosomal RNA
Rfam family: Bacterial small subunit ribosomal RNA
Source: RNAcentral
UACGUAGGGACCGAGCGUUGUCCGGAAUCAUUGGGCGUAAAGAGCGUGUAGGCGGCCACUUAAGUCCUGCGUGAAAUCUUGCGGCUCAACCGCAAGCGGUCGUGGGAAACUGGGUGGCUAGAGUGCGGGAGAGGAGAGUGGAAUUCCUGGUGUAGCGGUGGAAUGUGCAGAUAUCAGGAAGAACACCCGUGGCGAAGGCGGCUCUCUGGAACGCAACUGACGCUGAGACGCGAAAGCGUGGGGAGCAAACAGG